Molecule: ribosomal RNA, 505 nt
Filed under: uncultured bacterium
Lineage: Bacteria
Description: partial 16S ribosomal RNA
Rfam family: Bacterial small subunit ribosomal RNA
Source: RNAcentral
GGCGAACGCUGGCGGCGUGCCUAAUACAUGCAAGUAGAACGCACAGUUUAUACCGUAGCUUGCUACACCAUAGACUGUGAGUUGCGAACGGGUGAGUAACGCGUAGGUAACCUGCCUGGUAGCGGGGGAUAACUAUUGGAAACGAUAGCUAAUACCGCAUAAUAUUAAUUAUUGCAUGAUAAUUAAUUGAAAGGUGCAAUUGCACCACUACCAGAUGGACCUGCGUUGUAUUAGCUAGUAGGUGAGGUAACGUCUCACCUAGGCGACGAUACAUAGCCGACCUGAGAGGGUGAUCGGCCACACUGGGACUGAGACACGGCCCAGACUCCUACGGGAGGCAGCAGUAGGGAAUCUUCGGCAAUGGACGAAAGUCUGACCGAGCAACGCCGCGUGAGUGAAGAAGGUUUUCGGAUCGUAAAGCUCUGUUGUAAGAGAAGAACGGGUGUGAGAGUGGAAAGUUCACGCUGUGACGGUAUCUUACCAGAAAGGGACGGCUAACUACGUG